UAGUCCACGCCGUAAACGAUGGAUACUAGCUGUCCGGGUCCUUGAGACCUGGGCGGCCAAGCGAAAGUGAUAAGUAUCCCACCUGGGGAGUACGUUCGCAAGAAUGAGACUCAAAGGAAUUGACGGGGGCCCGCACAAGCGGUGGAGCAUGUGGUUUAAUUCGAUGAUACGCGAGGAACCUUACCAGGGCUUAAAUGCAUAUUGACAGGGCUAGAGAUAGCUUUUCCUUCGGGCAAUUUGCAAGGUGCUGCAUGGUUGUCGUCAGCUCGUGCCGUGAGGUGUCAGGUUAAGUCCUAUAACGAGCGCAACCCCUGUCGUUAGUUGCCAGCGAGUCAUGUCGGGGACUCUAACGAGACUGCCGGUGCAAGCCGCGAGGAAGGUGGGGACGACGUCAAAUCAUCAUGGCCUUUAUGCCUGGGGCUACACACGUGCUACAAUGGUAGGUACAGAGGGCAGCGAAGCGGCGACGUGGAGCCAAUCCCUUAAAAGCCUAUCCCAGUUCGG
This 504-nucleotide ribosomal RNA is filed under the name uncultured bacterium. RNAcentral's name for it is "bacterial SSU rRNA". It matches the Rfam family "Bacterial small subunit ribosomal RNA", at positions 791 to 1296 of the family's 1533-position model. The record is from RNAcentral.